GGCGCGUAGGCGGAUCGUUAAGUCAGAGGUGAAAUCCCAGGGCUCAACCCUGGAACUGCCUUUGAUACUGGCGAUCUUGAGUAUGAGAGAGGUAUGUGGAACUCCGAGUGUAGAGGUGAAAUUCGUAGAUAUUCGGAAGAACACCAGUGGCGAAGGCGACAUACUGGCUCAUUACUGACGCUGAGGCGCGAAAGCGUGGGGAGCAAACAGGAUUAGAUACCCGUGUAGU
RNAcentral lists this ribosomal RNA (229 nucleotides) under Brevundimonas sp. RNAcentral describes it as "partial 16S ribosomal RNA". It matches the Rfam family "Bacterial small subunit ribosomal RNA", at positions 566 to 794 of the family's 1533-position model. The record is from RNAcentral. Lineage: Bacteria; Pseudomonadati; Pseudomonadota; Alphaproteobacteria; Caulobacterales; Caulobacteraceae.